This 468-nucleotide ribosomal RNA is filed under the name uncultured bacterium. RNAcentral's name for it is "partial 16S ribosomal RNA". It matches the Rfam family "Bacterial small subunit ribosomal RNA", at positions 28 to 507 of the family's 1533-position model. The record is from RNAcentral.
GACGAACGCUGGCGGCGUGCUUAACACAUGCAAGUCGAACGGAAAGGCCCUGCUUUUGUGGGGUGCUCGAGUGGCGAACGGGUGAGUAAAACGUGAGUAACCUGCCCUUGACUUUGGGAUAACUUCAGGAAACUGGGGCUAAUACCGGAUAGGAGCUCCUGCUGCAUGGUGGGGGUUGGAAAGUUUCGGCGGUUGGGGAUGGACUCGCGGGUUAUCAGCUUGUUGGUGGGGUAGUGGCUUACCAAGGCUUUGACGGGUAGCCGGCAUGAGAGGGUGACCGGCGACAAUGGGACUGCGAUACGGACCAGAAUCCUACGGGAGGCAGCAGUGGGGAAUAUUGCACAAUGGGGGGAAGCCUGAUGCAGCAACGCCGCGUGCGGGAUGACGGCCUACGGGUUGUAAACCGCUUUCGCCUGUGACGAAGCGUGAGUGACGGUAAUGGGUAAAGAAGCACCGGCUAACUACGUG